RNAcentral lists this ribosomal RNA (395 nucleotides) under uncultured bacterium. Its description in RNAcentral is "partial 16S ribosomal RNA". It matches the Rfam family "Bacterial small subunit ribosomal RNA", at positions 523 to 918 of the family's 1533-position model. The record is from RNAcentral.
AUACGUAGGGUGCAAGCGUUAAUCGGAAUUACUGGGCGUAAAGCGUGCGCAGGCGGUUUUGUAAGACAGUGGUGAAAUCCCCGGGCUCAACCUGGGAACUGCCAUUGUGACUGCAAGGCUGGAGUGCGGCAGAGGGGGAUGGAAUUCCGCGUGUAGCAGUGAAAUGCGUAGAUAUGCGGAGGAACACCGAUGGCGAAGGCAAUCCCCUGGGCCUGCACUGACGCUCAUGCACGAAAGCGUGGGGAGCAAACAGGAUUAGAUACCCUGGUAGUCCACGCCCUAAACGAUGUCAACUGGUUGUUGGGGAUUUAUUGACUCAGUAACGAAGCUAACGCGUGAAGUUGACCGCCUGGGGAGUACGGCCGCAAGGUUGAAACUCAAAUGAAUUGGCGGGG